RNAcentral lists this transfer RNA (77 nucleotides) under Polaribacter gangjinensis. RNAcentral's name for it is "tRNA-Ala". It matches the Rfam family "tRNA". From Rfam's summary of the family: Transfer RNA (tRNA) molecules are approximately 80 nucleotides in length. Their secondary structure includes four short double-helical elements and three loops (D, anti-codon, and T loops). Further hydrogen bonds mediate the characteristic L-shaped molecular structure. tRNAs have two regions of fundamental functional importance: the anti-codon, which is responsible for specific mRNA codon recognition, and the 3' end, to which the tRNAs corresponding amino acid is attached (by aminoacyl-tRNA synthetases). tRNAs cope with the degeneracy of the genetic code in two manners: having more than one tRNA (with a specific anti-codon) for a particular amino acid; and 'wobble' base-pairing, i.e. permitting non-standard base-pairing at the 3rd anti-codon position. Lineage: Bacteria; Pseudomonadati; Bacteroidota; Flavobacteriia; Flavobacteriales; Flavobacteriaceae. The record is from RNAcentral.
GGGGAUGUAGCUCAGUUGGCUAGAGCGCUACGCUGGCAGCGUAGAGGUCGUCGGUUCGAGCCCGAUCUUCUCCACAA